AUAAAAGCUGUCUUGUUCUGUAAAUAAUCAUCCAAAACCUAUUAUAAAGAACAAGGAUUUCAUGGAGUCUCGAGCUCCUAUAACUGAUGUGUCUUGCUUUGUUGUCAGAAUCAGGACUUGUGGCAUUGUUAUCUGGGGAUGCAGCUGGAAGGGAUGGUGGUGUACAGGCUUUACUAUCCUGGAUCUCAUUUAAAAUUUCCAUUGCAUAUUCAAGGGCAUUGAGCUGGGGAGGGACAGUAAAGCCGUUAGAGAGCAAGAAACAUUGCAGGGAAGAAAGCGUUCCAUGGUGAACAACAGUUCCUUUACAUAACAAAAGUAAUUUAUCAAUGGUAGAAAGGAUCUUGAAGCUUGGUUGAUGAAUGGACAAAAUCACUGUGCGAUGACGUGAAGUAGCAAUGGACUUAAGGGUUUGCAUUACAUUAAGGGCUGAUUUACUAUCAAGGCCCGAAGUGGGUUCAUCCAGAAGUAAAACUGCAGGGUCAUGGAGGAGGCUCAGCCCUAUUGAAACACGUCUACGUUCACCGCCUGAUAACCCAUGAGCUAACCGGGCGUUAGCCAAGUGUGUUAGGCUGAGCUCAUUGAGAAGAGAGUCCACAAUA
This 599-nucleotide unclassified non-coding RNA is filed under the name Hevea brasiliensis (rubber tree). The record is from RNAcentral. Lineage: Eukaryota; Viridiplantae; Streptophyta; Magnoliopsida; Malpighiales; Euphorbiaceae.